Long non-coding RNA from Rana temporaria (common frog), 871 nucleotides. RefSeq lists it as uncharacterized. The transcript has 4 exons. NCBI's taxonomy places the organism in Eukaryota, Metazoa, Chordata, Amphibia, Anura, Ranidae. The record is from RefSeq and is a predicted model, not a curated record.
GCUGGGGAUUGUAGGCCUUCGGUCCAGCACCAGCUUGGGUGUCUGUGCACUGGCACUCUGUGUCCGCUCACGCCCGACCGCGCCUCCUAUGACGCACGGACGUGUGGGAGGGGCCAAGGGGUAUAUCUGGACUGUGUCUGGCUGUGGAGCGUUAGUGUGUUGUGCACUCCUGUGGAGUUAACUUGUGCUGCUAAGACAGACGAACCAGCUUGUCACUAAAUCUGACUAGCCUCCGGUCUCAAGCUAGGCAUAAGCCUCCACAGAUGCUAUACCUGUAUACCUGAGCACUUUGGCCACUUUGCUUCUGGGUGCCGCCCCCUGCCUCUCCGAUGGUUGGGGACUGUGUGAAUCCCAUCUGCAGCGGUUUCUCAUUUUUUUCCUGCCUAGGUUAUCCUUUUGGCUGUCAACUUGUGUCCAUCUGGCCUGAUUUUUCAGGAAGGUGAUGGUAUCAGGGUAUUAUACACCCUGUUGUUUGUUUACAUCCACUACGGACCAGCAGAAUCCAAACUCUGAUCUCAACCACCCCUGAAGAAGCCUAACCAGGCGAAAUAUAUAGGGUUUACCAACCGGGUUGUGAUCUCUGCUACAGUAUUUAUGUCUGUUAUGGAAACCUUUUAACCUUGUUAUACUUGUUUAGGUUGUUUUGGUUUAUGAAUUGGACUCCGUUAGAGUCCAUGAUAUGUCCUACAACCUGACGCUAUUUUUUUAAAUAAACUAUUAAAAUUUAUAGUACUUGUUCUAUUUUUCUUUAUGGGUUUCUGCUUGCACCGUUAUAGUCCCGCCAUUGUUCGACUUUCCCAUAUAUAAAUUUGGGAUGAGGUGCUCUUGUCAAUGAUACUAUUUUUCAGUCUAGACCAGCCAGAUCCUAUCC